This is a long non-coding RNA of Fundulus heteroclitus (mummichog), 907 nucleotides long. RefSeq lists it as uncharacterized. The record is from RefSeq and is a predicted model, not a curated record. Lineage: Eukaryota; Metazoa; Chordata; Actinopteri; Cyprinodontiformes; Fundulidae. The transcript is spliced from 5 exons.
CAUGUGUCUGCCUGUUCUCUGUGCCAGCUGAGAGACAAGUGAUGCCAUGCUCCAGGAGCUCUGCUGAGGCGUGGGGGGAGGAGGGGUAAGGAAGGGAGGAUGAGGGGAGAAAAAGAGGGAUGGAGAAAGUGAGCAAAGAGUGGGAGAAGCAGAGCGAAGAAAGUGGGAAGACAGAGAAAUCGGAUGAGCAGGGACACAGGGAGUGAGGGACAGGAAGGAUUCAGCAUGGGAAGACAGGAGAGAGAGAGAGAGAGAGAGAGAGAGAGAGAGAGAGAGAGAGAGAGAGAGAGAGAGAGAGAGAGAGAGUGAGCAUCGAAGGAAGAAAGGAGGUUGGAAAGAUAGCAAACAUACCGUAGAUGAAGCUUUGGGAGGAGCGCAACACUGAGAAGCAUCAGCGCUGUCAGAGCAUGUUCAGCCUGCAGGGACAGCCGGGGGGUCAGCUGUCACAGUCAGCCACCAGUUUAAAAGCACAAGGUUUCCACACUGAAGUCAGCUGGGAGCCACCUUGGCAUAGACGGAAUACACCUGUGACUGACGUCCACCUGUCCCACCCUGCAGAAGAAAGGUUAAACCGUGGUUUGUCUGUGUGACCUGUUUCCCAUCAGAUCAUCAGCCUUUAAAACGUGAAAGCAGAGCUCCUGUGUGCAAACUGCCCCCCAGUGGAGAGACUGAAAUACACGCAGAGUUGUCCCAGUAUUUCCUCAUGUGGCCACCCGAGCUUCUGCUCUAGCAAUUCGAAUGAAGUUAAUCCCAGACAGAACUGGGCUGCAGAGUGAAGUGCCAGCGACUGUCCACUGUGGCUACAUGCUCAUCCAGGAGGAAUAAAUGACUCGAUGGAAUCGGCUACAUUUCCUUAAAUGGAAGACUUUUGAACCAAUCUGAAUAAUAAACUGAAAUUGACUUGGAA